GACGAACGCUGGCGGCGUGCUUAACACAUGCAAGUCGAACGGAAAGGCCCUGCUUUUGUGGGGUGCUCGAGUGGCGAACGGGUGAGUAACACGUGAGUAACCUGCCCUUGACUUUGGGAUAACUUCAGGAAACUGGGGCUAAUACCGGAUAGGAGCUCCUGCUGCAUGGUGGGGGUUGGAAAGUUUCGGCGGUUGGGGAUGGACUCGCGGCUUAUCAGCUUGUUGGUGGGGUAGUGGCUUACCAAGGCUUUGACGGGUAGCCGGCCUGAGAGGGUGACCGGCCACAUUGGGACUGGGAUACGGCCCAGACUCCUACGGGAGGCAGCAGUGGGGAAUAUUGCACAAUGGGCGGAAGCCUGAUGAAGCAACGCCGCGUGCGGGAUGACGGCCUUCGGGUUGUAAACCGCUUUCGCAUGUGACGAAGCGUGAGUGACGGGAAUGGGUAAAGAAGCACCGGCUAACUACGG
RNAcentral lists this ribosomal RNA (467 nucleotides) under uncultured bacterium. RNAcentral describes it as "partial 16S ribosomal RNA". It matches the Rfam family "Bacterial small subunit ribosomal RNA", at positions 28 to 506 of the family's 1533-position model. The record is from RNAcentral.